GAGUUUGAUCGUGGCUCAGAUUGAACGCUGGCGGCAUGCCUUACACAUGCAAGUCGAACGGCAGCAUGAUCUAGCUUGCUAGAUUGAUGGCGAGUGGCGAACGGGUGAGUAAUACAUCGGAACGUGCCCUGUAGUGGGGGAUAACUAGUCGAAAGAUUAGCUAAUACCGCAUACGACCUGAGGGUGAAAGUGGGGGACCGCAAGGCCUCAUGCUAUAGGAGCGGCCGAUGUCUGAUUAGCUAGUUGGUGGGUAAAGGCCCACCAAGGCGACGAUCAGUAGCUGGUCUGAGAGGACGAUCAGCCACACUGGGACUGAGACACGGCCCAGACUCCUACGGGAGGCAGCAGUGGGGAAUUUGGACAAUGGGCGAAAGCCUGAUCCAGCAAUGCGCGUGUGUGAAGAAGGCC
This 408-nucleotide ribosomal RNA is filed under the name uncultured microorganism. RNAcentral's name for it is "bacterial SSU rRNA". It matches the Rfam family "Bacterial small subunit ribosomal RNA", at positions 9 to 416 of the family's 1533-position model. The record is from RNAcentral.